CGACGUUUCUGUCACGAAACAGAACUCCAACGUCAAGAAUCACCCGUACCAGUCUCCAGAGAUCUUAUUGGGGGCUCCGUACAACGAGGCAAUAGACAUGUGGUCCGUAGGUUGCGUGAUGGCUUUUCUGUACAUUGGCGCUCAACUUUAUCCUGGCAGGAAUGAAUACGAAACGAUAAAGUACAUUACGGAGACUCAAGGUCAGUUUCCAGAAGACAUCUUAGCUUCUGGAAAAAAGACUAGCGACUUUUUCCAAAGAGAGAACAAAACCAG
Doryrhamphus excisus (bluestripe pipefish) is the source of this 273-nucleotide non-coding RNA. The record is from RefSeq and is a predicted model, not a curated record. NCBI's taxonomy places the organism in Eukaryota, Metazoa, Chordata, Actinopteri, Syngnathiformes, Syngnathidae.